UACAGAGGCCCCAAGCGUUACUGAGAAUCACUGGGUUUAAAGGGUGCGUAGGUGGCGCGUUAAGUCCGUUGUGAAAUCCCUUGGCUCAACCAAGGAAAUGCUUCGGAUACUGGCGUGCUUGAGGCUAGUAUGGGUCACUGGAACUGACGGUGGAGCGGUGAAAUGCGUAGAUAUCGUCAGGAACGCCAAUGGUGAAGACAGGUGACUGGGCUAGUUCUGACACUGAGGCACGAAAGCGUGGGGAGCGAACGGGG
This 254-nucleotide ribosomal RNA is filed under the name uncultured bacterium. RNAcentral describes it as "partial 16S ribosomal RNA". It matches the Rfam family "Bacterial small subunit ribosomal RNA", at positions 524 to 777 of the family's 1533-position model. The record is from RNAcentral.